CCUACGGGUGGCAGCAGUGAGGAAUAUUGGUCAAUGGGCGCGAGCCUGAACCAGCCAAGCCGCGUGAGGGAAGAAGGUCCAACGUAUUGUAAACCUCUUUUGUCGGGGAGCAAAAGCCGCGACUCGUGCCCUGCUGAGGGUACCCGACGAAAAAGCAUCGGCUAACUCCGUGCCAGCAGCCGCGGUAAUACGGAGAAUUCGAGCUUUCUCCGGCUUUGUUGGGUUUAAAGGGGGCGAUGGCGGACGGUUAAGUCAGUGGUAAAAGUUGGGGGCGCAACCUCAUCGUGCAGUUGAAACGGGUGGUCUGGAGUGAGAGAGAGGUAUGCGGAAUGCGUGGUGUAGCGGUGAAAGGCCUAGAUAUCACGAAGAACUCCGAUUGCGAAGGCAGCAUACCGGAGCGAAACUGACGCUGAGGCACGAAAGUGUGGGUAUCGAACAGGAUUAGAUACCCCAGUAGUC
RNAcentral lists this ribosomal RNA (459 nucleotides) under uncultured bacterium. RNAcentral describes it as "partial 16S ribosomal RNA". It matches the Rfam family "Bacterial small subunit ribosomal RNA", at positions 338 to 795 of the family's 1533-position model. The record is from RNAcentral.